Molecule: ribosomal RNA, 253 nt
Filed under: uncultured bacterium
Lineage: Bacteria
Description: partial 16S ribosomal RNA
Rfam family: Bacterial small subunit ribosomal RNA
Source: RNAcentral
UACGUAGGGGGCUAGCGUUGUCCGGAAUCAUUGGGCGUAAAGCGCGUGUAGGCGGUCCGGUAAGUCCGCUGUGAAAGUCGGGGGCUCAACCCUCGGAUGCCGGUGGAUACUGUCGGGCUUGAGUACGGAAGAGGCGAGUGGAAUUCCUGGUGUAGCGGUGAAAUGCGCAGAUAUCAGGAGGAACACCAAUUGCGAAGGCAGCUCGCUGGGACGUUACUGACGCUGAGGAGCGAAGGCGUGGGGAGCGAACAGG